Corvus hawaiiensis (hawaiian crow) is the source of this 168-nucleotide long non-coding RNA. RefSeq lists it as uncharacterized. The record is from RefSeq and is a predicted model, not a curated record. NCBI's taxonomy places the organism in Eukaryota, Metazoa, Chordata, Aves, Passeriformes, Corvidae. The transcript is spliced from 3 exons.
AUUUCUUUUUCACAGCAGUUUGCAGUUUGUUUUCAUGUUCCAAGGACACAGAGAUAAAACCGGUCUGCUUCUGCAGCGGUGGGAGCGGGAGGAAGCAGCUUGCUUUCCAGCCAGUUUUUGGCUUUCUUUUUCUCUGGAGAGGCAGAGACAGAGAGUUGAACUUUUGUU